RNAcentral lists this unclassified non-coding RNA (234 nucleotides) under Periwinkle virescence phytoplasma. RNAcentral describes it as "16S-23S ribosomal RNA intergenic spacer". The stretch from base 80 to 153 matches the Rfam family "tRNA". Lineage: Bacteria; Bacillati; Mycoplasmatota; Mollicutes; Acholeplasmatales; Acholeplasmataceae. The record is from RNAcentral.
AAGGAAACAUAAAAUCAUCAUCUUCAGUUUUGAAAGACUUAGUUAAGUUUUUCUCAUUUAUUUUAUUUUUUGAUAUCCUGGGCCUAUAGCUCAGUUGGUUAGAGCACACGCCUGAUAAGCGUGAGGUCGGUGGUUCAAGUCCAUUUAGGCCCACCAAACGUUUUUACAAAAAAACGUGUUAUCAAAAAAAAGUUCUUUGAAAAGUAGAUAAACAAGAAAAUAAUAGCCAUUUUU